GAUGAAGAACGCAGCGAAAUGCGAUAAGUAAUGUGAAUUGCAGAAUUCAGUGAAUCAUCGAAUCUUUGAACGCACCUUGCGCCCUUUGGCCAUUCCGAAGGGCAUGCCUGUUUGAGUAUCAUGAACACCUCAACUCUCAUGGCUCGCCAUGAUGAGCUUGGAUUUGGGGGUCUUGCUGGCCUGUGGUCGGCUCCUCUCAAAUGGAUCAGCUUGCCAGUGUUUGGUGGCAUCACAGGUGUGAUAACUAUCUGCGCUUGUGGUUUUCCAUCAGAUAACCUUCAGUGAUGGAGGUUCGCUGGAGCUCAUAAACGUCUCCCCUAAGCGGGGACAGCCCUUUGAAUGUUUGAUCUCAAAUCAGGUAGGACUACCCGCUGAACUUAAGCAUAUCAAUAAGCGGAGG
RNAcentral lists this unclassified non-coding RNA (400 nucleotides) under soil metagenome. Its description in RNAcentral is "partial contains 5.8S ribosomal RNA, internal transcribed spacer 2, and large subunit ribosomal RNA". The stretch from base 1 to 121 matches the Rfam family "5.8S ribosomal RNA", at positions 35 to 154 of the family's 154-position model. The record is from RNAcentral.